AGAUAAAGAAUGAUAAAACAUAUGGUGCUCUUGUACAUUUUUAUGUUUGGCAGUAUCAAAAUGGAAAAGCAUUGAUACAUGUGAUAUAAUGCUACUAUACACAGACUGAAGAGUAUGAAAGGGAGCUGAUGAAGUUCUUCGUUAGUUUUUAGGAAAAAAAAAUACAGAUCGUAGUUUUUUUCGUUUGCUUACAUCUCAAAUCCAUGGAUCUUGAUUCUCCACCCCAUCAAGACCCUGUAACUCCCUCUUAUGUACAGAAACUUAAGAAUAAUUCUAUCCUUCCACUUGUGUCUUCUUCCUCGAGACACUCUGUUUCCGACCUGACUGACGAAAUCACGCCGGCGGUCUCCAACACAAAUUUUAUUCCCAUUUCAGCAGCUGACAAAUCCAGAUUAUACAAUCCAUGGCAACAAUCGGUGAUUAUUAAAGUUAUGGGUAGAAAAAUUGGUCACCAAAUUCUGGGGGAAAACUUCAUGAAAUUUGGAAGAUUUCAGAACAGUUUACUCUUAUGGAUUUGGGUUAUGAAUUUUUCUUGGUCAAAUUUAACGAUGAGCAAAAUUUCCGGCAUGCCCUUCAUGAUGGUCCUCGAUUUGUGUAAGGGAAUUUCAUCUCAGUUCAAAAAUGGGAACCAAAAUUUAUAGCUUCCCAGGCUCGCAUAGCGCAUUCUGCCAUUUGGGAUCGGCUCCCAGAGUUGCAUACGGAGUUCUACGAUCUUGAGAUUCUUACAAUGGUUGACAACAAAAUAGGAACGUUGUUGAAAAUUGAUAACUGCACCUUCUUCGUCACGAGGUCGGUAUGCUCGUCUUUGCAUUCAAGUGCCGCUAGAUGAACCCCUGCUGCACCACCUUUUCCUGGGAACUCAUAAACAAAAGAUUUUAUAUGAGGCAUCUUCUAUGCUUUGUACAAAUUGUGGCAGAUUGGGACACACAUCCCAAUGCCUUUUUUUGAGUCGAUUGAAGAUGGGCAUGUCGGAGAGUCCACCACUAACGGAAGGUCACCGGCACGGAGAGCCAGAAGUACUUCCGAAAUGCAGUGGUGAUGCAGGUAGGGAUGAUAAUGGUGAGGAAAUGGAUGGCUGGCAGAUUGUGAAUUUUUCGAGAAGACCGGCGAGACGUUCGCCGGAAAAGAGUAGACCAACAGUGGCGGUAUCAUACAAGGUUUCUACACAAAAAAUAUCCACUGGUCCAGUUGAUGCGGCGCUGGUGGGCCCAGGUAAGUGCCAUACAACUAUGUCUUUCAAUUUUAAAAUUUCUACUGUUACUUCUACUCAUAUUUAUUUUGGAAUAAGCAUAAUAGGUGGGGCCAACAAUAACCUAGUGGGGCCCGUUCAUGACGGCUCACCCAACUUUUUGAGUCCUAUAAUAAAAUUAUGCAAACGUAUAGAGAUGUGGAUGUUUCCACUGGAUUUAAAUUCUGCUUUCUCCGAGUUAAAUGAAAAAGUUACUAAGUAGGAAUUGCCUCUUAAAAUAUCCGACACCUACGUGGAUGCCAUGCAACAUUUUACCCCGCGCAUGCUACGUUAAAUCGUGGCGAAUUUAAAAUUUAAGAAUUGUGAGUGAUUAAAAAAUUUUAAAAAGAAAAUCAGCUCAACAAGGUUUGAGCACCCCCAGGAACUCCUUUUAACGAAGUAUCUUAAGAUCAACCUAAAUGUCAGUGCAGCCAACUAACUUUUUAUUAUAGUGGGUGCUUUUAUAUAUUGUAUAUCUAUUUUUAUACAUUUUCUAUGUAAUUAUAUUUAUUUCGUAUCGAAUUUAGUGGGUGUCGGAAUAUCCAAAAUAGAAAGUAGUUCCGCCCCUGACGUUAAAGCCUUCAUCCAAAUCUACUACCGAUAUUAACUUGUACAAUGAUUGCAGUCCUUGUGAAAAUACCAACUUGUUAAGUUCUCCUUUAUUACCUUCUCCUAUUCAUCCCGCUAAUACUCAUUUCACUUUGGAAAAUCAGCCUGCUCCGUCCGUUAUUAUAAAUUAUGACUCUUCAUCCCAAUUGCCCGUUGAGAACUCUGCAUAUCCAUCAUGCACCCCAUUACCCUGUUCAGAAACUUUUCCUAAGCAACUUUCCUCAAAUGGAGCAGAAUUUGAACGAGCUCCCAUAUCUGAUUUACUCAUCCUCUGCUCCGAACCUGGAGCAACCACCCCAGUCGUGGCUGGAAGUAGCCCUGAUCGGGUAUGUGCUAACCUUUACCCUUUAAGUGAAUGGCCGAGAGUGUCUGGUGCUAAUUCAGAACCCUGCCUAUCCCACUAACAUUAUUAUGGAAGGGAUGACCAUUGGUUUGGAGGUUUUCAACAACCCCUCGGGAACAAGCUCGGGAGUUCAAGCUCUUCCUUUCUAUUCGGAGCAGCAUCCGAGGCACGAGGGGGCCCCGUGGAUUCAACCCCAUGUGACGGUUGUUCCCACAGAGCCACUGCAGGGUCUCGAGCUCCAGAUGCACGCCCUGAACCUGAAUGCUCCUCGAGAUCCGCAGAGUCCGAAUCAGAUGGGAAACGAGCCGGGGGGAGCAGAAACAGUGACCACUUUUCUAAGCUAGGUACGAGUAUUCCUCCUCAGAGAACUGAGCGAAAAAAAUAAGUAUAAAUUGCCCCCAAAAUAUGUUCAAGUGCUCAAUUUAUGUGAGACCGACACUGAAUCUGGAUGUCGACAAAUAUGCACUAGUUCUGAGUCCCUCCCUGAGGGAUACUGAUGUUACUUUUCCCUCCUUGGUGUCCCCCCGUCGUUUCUCUCGUCCUAUGAAUUUUCUGAUAUGGAAUUGUAGGGGGUCUAACUCCUAGGAUUUUAGACUAAACUUCAGAGAUCUUCUCGAGUUGCAUAAACCCGCUCUAGUAGUUCUGCUGGAAACCCAUAGGGACAACCACCAGUCUAUGCCCUAUGAGUUUCAUUUUUUGAAUGUUGCUGCUGUUCCGGCUGAGGGACAGACAGGUGGUAUUGCCAUUUUAUGUAAAGCUGAUAUUUUAAAUGUAACUGAAGUAGCGCUUACCCACCAAGAAAUCCACUGCAUGGUCCAGGUCCCUAAUGCAUAGUUUGCAUGAUCUGCCGCUGAGUCACGUUUACAAGGAACAAAAUAAGAUGGCAGAUACACUGACCAGAAUAAUUAUAUCCACUACAAAUAGUACUUCUUUGUUAUGGGAUCCUCCACCAUCCACUUUGGACAUUUUGUGAGCAGAUAAAAAUGGAGAAUCAUCAUGUCGGAUAGCUAGACUAUCUACUCCCACUGGGAGAUUAUAUAAUAGUAAUGCUACUGCUUAUCAGGUUGUAAAUACUAGUUUUAGAGGGGCAACUACUGUUGCUGUCAGUGUUUGUACAGUGCCACAACAUAUAUCCUUGUAGACGUGCGAUUUAUAAUAUAAACUUCCUAUGUUUACCAAAAAAAAAGAAGA
RNA transcript from Capsicum annuum, 3371 nucleotides. RefSeq lists it as uncharacterized. The record is from RefSeq and is a predicted model, not a curated record. The transcript is spliced from 2 exons. NCBI's taxonomy places the organism in Eukaryota, Viridiplantae, Streptophyta, Magnoliopsida, Solanales, Solanaceae.